Long non-coding RNA from Erinaceus europaeus (western European hedgehog), 1189 nucleotides. RefSeq lists it as uncharacterized. The transcript is spliced from 5 exons. The record is from RefSeq and is a predicted model, not a curated record. NCBI's taxonomy places the organism in Eukaryota, Metazoa, Chordata, Mammalia, Eulipotyphla, Erinaceidae.
UUCAUUCUCUUUUCUGUGUACACACCCAACAACUAUUUAUGGUGCAGACUGUGGUAAAUAGUCAGCAGAGAUGAGACAGCUGGCCUGCCCAGCCUCCUGGAGCUGUCAGGACCCAAGGCAGCGAGAUGCAAAGACAUCUGCUGAGAUCUGACCAUCGCCACAUGGGAUGGAGUCAUCGUGGUGUCCUCCUGAGACCGUGGGGAAGGCUCUCAGGUCCCCACUGCCCUGAACCUUGUGACUCAGAGCUGGUGGUUUGUGGCGUUCCUCAGUUGCAGACAUAGAGAGAAGUUGCAAGAACAGUGAUACACAGAGUUACCAUUUGCUUUUCACGCAGACCACUCAACCCUGGAGCUGACGUGUCAUCAUAGCUGCAGGAACAGCUCCUCAGUCUUUGGUGUUUCAUGACCCUGACAUAUUUGAAAUGGAUGGACAACUCUUCUACAAAAGAUUCCUCAAGCUGGAUUUGUCUGCUGUAGCCUCACAGAAGGACUCGGGUCAUUUCCCUCUGGCGGGAAUAUCACCAAAGGGCCCUCCUGUGUCCUCUGUGCUUUUGGCGUCUCACUACCAGCGACGUUCACUCUGUUCACUUGUUAAGCUGUUCUCUGCCAGGUUUGUUCACUGCAAACAACAACAACGACAGCUAUAACAACAAUAACAACAAGGGCAACAACAACAAUGACAACAGCAACAAUAAAGGGGGAAAAUCGGCCUCCGGGAGCAGUGGAUUCAUAGUGCAGGCACAAGCCCCAGCAGUAACCCUGGAGGCAAAAAGGAAGAAAAAGAGAGAGAGACUGAGCCCUGAUGAUGUGUGAGCUUCUGGACCCAGCUACCAGGUUCCAGAUGCUACCAUAAUGCCAACCAGACUUCCCUGGGCAGAUGACCCCACCAAUGAGUCCUGGACCCCCUGCUUCCCCAGCGCCCUGCCCCACUAGGGAAAGAAAGAGACAGGCUAGGAGUGUGGAACGACCUGUCAAUGCCCAUGUUCAGCAGGGAAGCAAUUCCAGAAGCCAGACCUUCCACCUUCUGCACUCCAUAAAGACCCUGGGUCCAUACUCCCAGAUGGUUAAAGAAAAGGAAAGCUAUCAAGGGAGGGAAUAGGAUACAGAGUUCUGGUGGUGGGAAUUGUGUGGAAUUAUAACCCUUUUAUCCUAAGGUUUUGUCAGUAUUUCCUUUCUAUAAAUAAAAGUUA